UGUCCAGGGAUGAUGGGAAUCGAACCCACAGUGUUCCGCUUACCGGGCAGAUGCCAUGUCCACUAGGCUACCCUGGAC
Molecule: non-coding RNA, 78 nt
Organism: Cordylochernes scorpioides
Lineage: Eukaryota; Metazoa; Arthropoda; Arachnida; Pseudoscorpiones; Chernetidae
Source: the annotation of a GenBank genome assembly